This 493-nucleotide ribosomal RNA is filed under the name uncultured bacterium. RNAcentral describes it as "partial 16S ribosomal RNA". It matches the Rfam family "Bacterial small subunit ribosomal RNA", at positions 29 to 507 of the family's 1533-position model. The record is from RNAcentral.
ACGAACGCUGGCGGCGUGCUUAACGCAUGCAAGUCGAACGGUGAAGCGCCUUCCUUUUUGGUGGGUGUGGAUGAGUGGCGAACGGGUGAGUAACACGUGAGUAACCUGCCCCCUUCUUCUGGAUAACCGCAUGAAAGUGUGGCUAAUACGGGAUAUUCUGGGUCUGUCGCAUGAUGGGUCUGGGAAAGAUAUUGUUUCGGUGGGGGAUGGGCUCGCGGCCUAUCAGCUUGUUGGUGGGGUGAUGGCCUACCAAGGCGGUGACGGGUAGCCGGCCUGAGAGGGUGGACGGUCACACUGGGACUGCGACACGGCCCAGACUCCUACGGGAGGCAGCAGUGGGGAAUAUUGCACAAUGGGCGCAAGCCUGAUGCAGCGACGCCGCGUGAGGGAUGGAGGCCUUCGGGUUGUGAACCUCUUUCGCCAGUGAAGCAGGCCUGCCUCGUUUGUGGGUGGGUUGACGGUAGCUGGAUAAGAAGCGCCGGCUAACUACGUG